Cinara cedri is the source of this 244-nucleotide non-coding RNA. The record is from the annotation of a GenBank genome assembly. NCBI's taxonomy places the organism in Eukaryota, Metazoa, Arthropoda, Insecta, Hemiptera, Aphididae.
CCGCACCCGUCCCGUCCUCGUUGUUAUACGCAUAACUAGUACACCUAGUGUACGCUUAAAUCCUGCAGUUUCGCGUCUCAAUCCGCGGGCCCGUCGUCCGGUUUAAAAUCCGCCCGCUCCUUCUCAGCGUAGCAGUGUUCUACGCUACAAUUAUCUUAAUUAUUACUCGAUAUUGUACUUUGCGUUAUGUCUUGUAUCGCGAUCCCGGAAUCCAUGCAGUGUCGGAUACAGGUCUAGACAGCCA